AGUGUACUAAUAUUUUAUUUUAAAAAAUUUAUAUUGGAAAUAGGGGUAGUGUUAUUGUAUUUUAAGGAUUUAAUUUUAUUAAUUAUAGUUGAUUUGUACUGUUAAGGGAUUAUUAAUAAUUAAUAUUUUAUAAGUUGAUUUGGUUUAUUGUACCUUGUGUAUCAGGAUUUAUUAAAAUGGAAAAAUGUAAGUUAUUAUUCUCGAUAUUUGAGGAGCUAAUUAAUUAAUAUGGUUAUUGUUAUAUAAUUAUUAUAAAUAUUUAAUUAGUGGUGAAAUGUUAUUCGAUUUGAAGGGUAUCUAGUUUUCUUGGAAAUGAAUUUAAUUUAUAUUUUGAUUUUAAUUAGUUGAGUGGGGAAGGUAGUUUGAAUUGAAAUAAAUAUUUAAGGGGGUUAGCUCUUGAAUAUGUUUAUAUAAUUUGUAUUGGUUAUGAAGAUGUUGAUUUAAUGUUAAUUAUCAUUUUGAGGAUGUAAAAAUUUUAAUUUUGUUUUCUGUUCAUUUGUUUUGGAAUUUAUUUUUUUUACUUGAAUAAAUUAUUUAAUUUUUAUUGUUGUUGGGAAUAUGAUGGAAUUAGUAAAUUAUGGGUUUAUAAAUUGGUUUAAUUUGGGAAUUUUAUUUGAGGAAUUUGGCAAAAUUUAUAUUCGCCUGUUUAUCAAAAACAUCUUUUUUUGGAUUAAAUUAGAAGUAUGACCUGCCCACUGAAUAAGUAAUUUGAAGGGCCGCGGUAAUUUGACCGUGCAAAGGUAGCAUAAUCAUUAGUUUUUUAAUUGGAGGCUGGAAUGAAUGGUUGGACGAAAUAUGAUCUAUCUGAAAUUGAUUGAUAAUUGAAUUUAAAUAUUGAGUAAGAAUGCUUAAAUAUUUUUAUGGGACGAGAAGACCCUAUAGAGUUUUAUAUAAUAAUUUUAUUUAAUGUUUGUUAUAUUAAAGGUUAUAUUGUUAUAUUUGGUUGGGGUGAUUAUGAAAUAUAAAGAGCUUUUAUGUUUGGAAUACAUUGAUUUAUGAUUGAGUGAUCCAUUAAUGAUGAUUUGAAGUGAAAAUUACCUUAGGGAUAACAGCGUAAUUUUCUUUGAGAGUUCUUAUUGACAAGGGAGAUUACGACCUCGAUGUUGAAUUAAGAUGAAUAUUAGGUGUAGAAGUUUAAUUGAAAUAUUAGGUCUGUUCGACCUUUAAAAUCUUACAUGAUUUGAGUUCAGACCGGCGUGAGCCAGGUUGGUUUCUAUCUAUAAUUAAUAUGAAUUUUUUAGUACGAGAGGACCAAAAAUUUGGAAUAAUUUUUAUUGUUAGUAUAUUGUUGAUAU
RNAcentral lists this ribosomal RNA (1295 nucleotides) under Margattea angusta. Its description in RNAcentral is "16S ribosomal RNA". The stretch from base 1045 to 1208 matches the Rfam family "Archaeal large subunit ribosomal RNA", at positions 2542 to 2701 of the family's 2987-position model. The record is from RNAcentral. Lineage: Eukaryota; Metazoa; Arthropoda; Insecta; Blattodea; Pseudophyllodromiidae.